CGCGACCUGGAAACCCUAAUCAGAUCCCGAUCAAGGCACAACAUCGACUCCAAUGUCCAAUCUCGAUCGAGCCGUAGAGAGGAGCGGCCAGUUCUCGAUCCAGUGAAGACGCCGGUGUGUGUCGGUCCCCUUGAGGUGAGGUGAGGGAUUUGAGCGGGAUCCGGGUCGAGCCGAUCCAAUCCAGCGCGUGACAGAGGUGUGGUACGGGAUCAUCCGAGGCGCACGAUGCGUGUGAGGAAAGGUGGGGGCAAGGGCGAUAAUGGCAGACGCCUCGUCUGCUGGAAACUGCUCUCCUCUCCUUCAAGCUCGCAAUCAUGGCCUAUUAUUCAUUCAUGGCUGGUAAAGUCGCAAACCUUUCCUAUGCCCAGAGGUACUACAUAAUGCUUCCCUUCCCACUUCCCUCUGUAGCCAUGUCCCGAACUCGCCGUCGCCUUCUAUCCUGCUUGCCGUGGCCAUAGAUUUUCAUCUCUCCUCCUUGCCAAGUAGUUUAUCUCUUGUCUCCAGCGACAACACUGUAGGUGCAGCACAAGCGCGUCCGCUUGCCUUGUGUUCUUUUUGUGUUUUUAUUACUGAACUGUAGAAUUCUUGUUGUUGCAGAAAUUUGGGGAUCAAGCUGCUGAUUGCCUCGUCAUCCAGAAAAGUUAUUUUGGUGAGCAGAACAUUCGCUGGAAGAUGAACCAGCUUUUUCUGGCGAACGAAAUGAGCUCCUAUUUACUACUUUUGAAUUUGUUCAUUGAAACAUUGGGUCCAAGCUUGAUUGUUUACACAGCAAUGAGCACUCCUUUGUUCCCUCAACUUCUUCUAACAAAAUUAGCUAUUGUUAAGCCUGAUUUUUCUUUUACAUAAUAUUGUUUCAGUUUCAGUUCAGAAGUGUUUGCCAUGCCUUUUUUCUAUUGAAGGAACACGCUUGUGUAAAUCACAGUCCAUCCAUACAUUUCGAUACGCGAAUAGUUCCGUUCAGGUUCAUAAUGAUGAGUUUUUCUUAUUUCCAGUUUACAUAUUAUUAUCCACAUCAGCAAACCUGGGGGCUUCCUACUGUUCCUUUUUAAAAUGGUGCCUCUUAGUGUGCUUCAUUAGCUUGUAUGUAUAUUGGAGCAAUAAUGAAAGCCUUCACAUCAGGUUACGUGGUUGCACUGCUUAUUCCGGACACUAUUUGUGAGAUGGCAUCCUAUCUACUAAUACAGUUUUAUCUGAGAAGAUGGGCCUGUUUUGCUAUGGUGGGAAGUUAUACAUUUUCUUGACAGCGACAAGUGUGCCAUUCCAUGAAUUUUAUUGGGCAUCAUUUUCGGUAUAAUAUCUAGAGUACUGUCCUGAGAUGUAGGGGUGGGUGAACAUUGUUCAGAUAUAUACUACCGGCUCAGGUUUAGUCUCACUAGAAGUGUGUGGGACAUAAUCAAUCACAAUCUGUUAUGUGAUGUAUAUCAGUAUCAUAGUGGUUGAUAUAAGUUAUGUGUGAAUUGUUGCAACACUCAAUGAAGACUGUUUUGGCAUCACUUCUAUUUUUGGUUUGGUUAAGUUUACCUGCUGAUCUUAUAACAAUUAUAAUGCCACAUCUUUUCUUCUUUAUCUUUUGAGCCUCUCUAAGUUUUCAUACUAUCUUUUCCUUUUUCACACAUUUUCAUCUUAUUGUUCUACACCACGAGAGAAAAGUAUUUAUUCGGCUCUGAACUUACAAGGGACUGUAUUUAAUUAUUAGUUGCGGCUUGCUGUACAAAUAUGCAGUUAUAUUGCAGCUUCCAUUUAUUUUUUUUGUUUUUCAAGUUAGCAUGCCUCUUACCCUCUUGCGUGCAUUUCCAGGUGCAAUUUUAAGGCUUUAUGGAUCUGGAUGAGUUGAUGUGACAAUGGUCGAGGAGGUGAUGCCCUACUCUCAUCUAAUACAUUGAUGAAGACUAGAGGAUGUGAGUUCUCUCACUAUCUAUUUCUCGUUAGGUCGUUAAUUCUGGUGAUAUGUAAAUAUGUUUCUCUCUUUCAGUUCUGUAACCACUGCUGCACUGCCCUUUUCUACAGUACUUCCACCUUAGUAAUAUUAUUUUCUUUUUAGGUUUGCCAGGAUUCUAUAUUUCACGCAAUUUAAUGCACACUACUACAUCUGCACUCCGUGGCUCUUCUUUGCCACGACACAGUUCUAAGCACUUCUCGAAAUAUGCGUAUUGACACUUUGUACAACUUGAGAGUAGGGGGUACUUCAGGGGCUGCUAUAUUUUUUCUUAAACGAGGCAAAAGACUUGCCAUUUUCAUUGAUUAAGAAGAAGAGAAUUGCCCAGUUAAUUGACGGAAAACCAGGCUAAAACCAAUACAAGCCAACCCAUAUGACAUGGGCACCACCGGCCAACCUAGCCACCGACAUGAAACCCGCAACUGCAAAGAAGAAAGACAUCCGUCGAGGAGUCACAAGCAUCCGUCGAGGGGCUCCUAUUUAGUUAUAGCAUUAUUCUGGCAUAAUUACUUGGCAUUUGUUGAACAUUUUUUUAGCAUGAGCAUGGUUUAUUUACCAGUCUGGUUUGUCUAUUGUUUCGGCAUCUUUACCGAAUUGAAAUAUGUUCAAAUACCAGUUUAGUUAGUCCAUUAUUGCUGCAUCUUCUCCUCUCAUGAAGAUAUGCACAGUACUAAUUCCCAGUUUCGGAACCUUAUCUGAUGUUUUCGCACUUAAUUUUCCCCUCGAAUAUUUAUAUUGUUCUUUCUACAUGAUCGAUGGGCACAAACAUACCUUAUGUUAUUGGUGCAGUGCUGCAGGAGGCCUUGCAAAUGCUAUAGCAGAUGAUCACCCAGUUUUGACAUAGACGGACAUGGAUUCCCAAAGCAUUAUAAUCAAGGAGAGGAGAAAAGGCUUUGGACAACUUCUCUAUAUUUUUCACCCACAAGUCUGCAACCUAUUUUUUCAAUAUGGAAAUGACUUGUGACACAUUUUAUUGAAUAUCAAAGUGAGUUACAUGGUUGAACACUGAAGGAAAAACCGCCAGGAUUCUCAAGUGUCACACCACGACGCUUUAGGCUUGGCAAGCUUCCUCGCCUAUCUGUGCUAUGUUGCCCCUAGAGAAUGGCUAAAGUAGUUACAUUGAUGUACAAUGUUUUUUCUUGAUCAUUUUGUUAUAAACUGCAUGACUCAGUUCAUCUCUGGCCAUUCGAUAAACAUAACUGCAUUUAUUAUGAAUGAAUACUUAUAUCCACUUUACACACUGUAUCUCCUAAAUUUUCUUGUGUAACUUACAUUUUACUGUGCUAUAUAUUUCUGGAAUCACCUAUCCUUUUAUUAUGAAAAUGGACGGGCACAGCAACGCGUGCCCACCAUGAUCUAGUUAAAUGAUAUAGCCACCCUAUUCACUAAUGAUGAGAAAUCCCGCUACUAUUAUAUCCUUAAAAUAUUUUCGUUCUCAUUAAAGGGUGAUGCUAAGAUAUGGUUUAA
Molecule: long non-coding RNA, 3403 nt
Filed under: Triticum aestivum (bread wheat)
Lineage: Eukaryota; Viridiplantae; Streptophyta; Magnoliopsida; Poales; Poaceae
Description: long non-coding RNA (TAES_LNC019298)
Source: RNAcentral